This 253-nucleotide ribosomal RNA is filed under the name uncultured bacterium. RNAcentral's name for it is "partial 16S ribosomal RNA". It matches the Rfam family "Bacterial small subunit ribosomal RNA", at positions 524 to 776 of the family's 1533-position model. The record is from RNAcentral.
UACGGGGGGUGCAAGCGUUGUCCGGAAUCAUUGGGCGUAAAGCGUUCGUAGGCGGUAAAGUAAGUCAGAUGUUAAAGCCCGGGGCUCAACUCCGGUUCGGCAUUUGAUACUACUUAACUAGAAUGCGGUAGAGGUAAAGGGAAUUCCUGGUGUAGCGGUGAAAUGCGUAGAUAUCAGGAGGAACAUCGGUGGCGAAAGCGCUUUACUGGGCCGUUAUUGACGCUGAGGAACGAAAGCCAGGGGAGCAAAUGGG